Leptonychotes weddellii (Weddell seal) is the source of this 104-nucleotide small nuclear RNA. NCBI's taxonomy places the organism in Eukaryota, Metazoa, Chordata, Mammalia, Carnivora, Phocidae. The record is from RefSeq and is a predicted model, not a curated record.
GUGCUUGUUGCUGUAGCACAUACACUAAAAUUGGAAUGAUACAGAGAUCAGCAUGGCCCCUGCGCAAGGAUGACAUGCAAAUUCACGAAGUGUUCCAUAUUAAC